GUUCCCGUAGUUGAAUUACAACGGUGGUUUUUCAAGUCAUUGGUCUCGGUUGGAGUCCGGGUGGGAAUU
This 69-nucleotide transfer RNA is filed under the name Narcetes shonanmaruae. RNAcentral's name for it is "Alepocephalidae sp. MK-2017 tRNA-Glu". It matches the Rfam family "tRNA". Rfam says of the family: Transfer RNA (tRNA) molecules are approximately 80 nucleotides in length. Their secondary structure includes four short double-helical elements and three loops (D, anti-codon, and T loops). Lineage: Eukaryota; Metazoa; Chordata; Actinopteri; Alepocephaliformes; Alepocephalidae. The record is from RNAcentral.